Molecule: non-coding RNA, 828 nt
Organism: Lactuca sativa (garden lettuce)
Lineage: Eukaryota; Viridiplantae; Streptophyta; Magnoliopsida; Asterales; Asteraceae
Source: RefSeq, a predicted model, not a curated record
UCACUACAACAACAUCUAUUCGGAAACCAGCCACUACAACUAUCUCUAACCAGGCCUCCACAGAGGCAGUUCAAGCUAUUCAACAACUUGCUGCUCAGUUAGGUUUUCAGUUGCAACCUCUUAGUUCCCAACAACCUCAAGCACACUACACAAAUAGAUCUUAGAACAACCGUGAUCGGGCUCAAAAUAGUCGACCUGGCAACUCCAACAACAAUCGUGGACGUGGGAACUAAAACAAUCGCAUUCAAGGAGGAGGUACUUGUAAUCAGUUUAGUUGGGUAUCUAAUCAAAAUAUUGUUUUUGGUACAUGUAACAGGUGUGGUAUAGGGCAUGUACCGUCUCAAUGUCAAACCGUGACCCCAAUACACUCAAAUCAAGAAAGGCACUGUUUGCCAACUAUGCUGAUUACCGUUCACAAGCUUCAAGUACCUGGCUUCCAGAUACAGGAUCGAGUCAUCAUGUUGCAUCAAAUCUCUCUAGUUUUGACAACUCGGAAGCCUACUAUGGCGAGGAUAAUCUUCAUGUUGGCAACGGACACGUCUACACACAAUAUCCUCCACAUGGGUCCAAGUAACGGGGGUCUCUAUUCCUUCACUCUCCCAAGAAUGCAACCUAAAGUGUCCUUCUCUGCAACUCGUGCUUCUCCGACUACAUGGCAUCAAAGAUUGGGCCACCCGCACCCUCAACUUUUGAAGUCUAUGCUUUCUAAGUUUCGUUUACCUCUGAAAAACAAUUUUUCUAGUAUUUCUUGUGAUUCAUGUUCUAUUGGAAAGUCCUCAAAACUUCAUUUAUUACCAUCUAAUAUUAAAAGCAAUCAUAUUUUGGAUC